RNAcentral lists this ribosomal RNA (484 nucleotides) under uncultured bacterium. RNAcentral describes it as "partial 16S ribosomal RNA". It matches the Rfam family "Bacterial small subunit ribosomal RNA", at positions 30 to 507 of the family's 1533-position model. The record is from RNAcentral.
AUUGAACGCUGGCGGCAGGCCUAACACAUGCAAGUCGAGCGGAUGAAGGGAGCUUGCUCCUGGAUUCAGCGGCGGACGGGUGAGUAAUGCCUAGGAAUCUGCCUGGUAGUGGGGGAUAACGUCCGGAAAUGGGCGCUAAUACCGCAUACGUCCUGAGGGAGAAAGUGGGGGAUCUUCGGACCUCACGCUCUCAGAUGAGCCUAGGUCGGAUUAGCUAGUUGGUGGGGUAAAGGCCUACCAAGGCGACGAUCCGUAACUGGUCUGAGAGGAUGAUCAGUCACACUGGAACUGAGACACGGUCCAGACUCCUACGGGAGGCAGCAGUGGGGAAUAUUGGACAAUGGGCGAAAGCCUGAUCCAGCCAUGCCGCGUGUGUGAAGAAGGUCUUCGGAUUGUAAAGCACUUUAAGUUGGGAGGAAGGGCAGUAAGUUAAUACCUUGCUGUUUUGACGUUACCAACAGAAUAAGCACCGGCUAACUUCGUG